CCUACGGGAGGCAGCAGUGGGGAAUAUUGGACAAUGGGCGAAAGCCUGAUCCAGCAAUGCCGCGUGAGUGAUGAAGGCCUUCGGGUCGUAAAGCUCUUUUACCAGGGAUGAUAAUGACAGUACCUGGAGAAUAAGCUCCGGCUAACUCCGUGCCAGCAGCCGCGGUAAUACGGAGGGAGCUAGCGUUGUUCGGAAUUACUGGGCGUAAAGAGUACGUAGGCGGUUAUUCAAGUCAGAGGUGAAAGCCCGGGGCUCAACCCCGGAACUGCCUUUGAAACUAGAUAGCUAGAGUCUUGGAGAGGUUAGUGGAAUUCCGAGUGUAGAGGUGAAAUUCGUAGAUAUUCGGAAGAACACCAGUGGCGAAGGCGACUAACUGGACAAGUACUGACGCUGAGGUACGAAAGCGUGGGGAGCAAACAGGAUUAGAUACCCUGGUAGUCCACGCCGUAAACGAUGAUAACUAGUUGUUCGGUCACUUGGUGACUGAGUGACGCAGCUAACGCAUUAAGUUAUCCGCCUGGGGAGUACGGUCGCAAGAUUAAAACUCAAAGUAUAUCGACGNGNGAGAGCGACGACGACGACGACGAGGAGAG
This 593-nucleotide ribosomal RNA is filed under the name uncultured bacterium. RNAcentral's name for it is "bacterial SSU rRNA". It matches the Rfam family "Bacterial small subunit ribosomal RNA", at positions 338 to 948 of the family's 1533-position model. The record is from RNAcentral.